Molecule: long non-coding RNA, 774 nt
Organism: Daphnia pulicaria
Lineage: Eukaryota; Metazoa; Arthropoda; Branchiopoda; Diplostraca; Daphniidae
Exons: 4
Source: RefSeq, a predicted model, not a curated record
UAAGCCCAGCCGGUUAUAAUUCUGAACAGUAAACAUUUUAUAUUCACAGUUCACACUACACAGCGCUUCACAGUCGAACUUGCCGCUUUGGCUGAUUGGAUGCCAGAUGAGGACGUUUUUAAUUGCAAAAUUGCAAAUGGCAAUGUUGCGCCUUGCGCGUUACUUUCAAGAUGGCUGCUGACAGUCUGACAGGUGACAUUGACAGCCUCGGCGACGAAGUCAACUCAACCUACUCAAUUUAAUUUCCCUGACAUUAUUCGUCAUAAAAAUGAUAAAAUAGCCUACAAUUUAUACCUGGCAAUUCCAUCGGAUCAUGUGGCCUGAAACUGCUGUUUCCCAAAAUGUCGUCUCUAGCUGCACGUACCGGCUGUGCGUUUUGGUCACAUCUAGAAAUACUUCACAACAGUAUAAGUGAUCAUGUUGAUGUAACCCUAAGCAUUGUGAAGUCUGAGCUUCUUUAUUGCAGUCCAAUGUGCUGUGCAGUGCGAUUUGUUGCAGCCAGCUUUUGAAAGGUGUUCCUCUUGCAGGCUUGCUACCUGUACCAUUUGUAGCUUUCGUCACAUGCAGAAACACUUCUGAAAAAUUUAAAUAGGAUUAUUAGCCUCUUUAGGUCUGAGCCUCUUUCUUGCAGCCCAAUGUGUACAUGAAUUUUGUGCAGCCAGCUAGUGAAUUGUGUGGUGAGCUGUUGCUUGCAGACUGUGGUGCUGGUGUCGUUCGUUCAUUUAACUAUGGACCGUUCAGUCGUUCGUUCAUUUAACUAUGGACCGUUCAGUC